RNAcentral lists this long non-coding RNA (2083 nucleotides) under Malus domestica (apple). Its description in RNAcentral is "long non-coding RNA (MDOM_LNC008902)". Lineage: Eukaryota; Viridiplantae; Streptophyta; Magnoliopsida; Rosales; Rosaceae. The record is from RNAcentral.
AAAAUAUUUUAUUAUUCAUGACACAUUCCGACCUGGAAAGGUCGAAGCAUGCUGACCGUCACCGUGAGGUGACGUAACCAUAAGGGUAAGUGAUGCAAAAAGUGAAUAAAAUUAAAACUAAUUAGAACUAAACAGUGAAAAAGUGCGCAAUUCGUGGGUUGAACCCACUACAAUUAUUCAGAGCGUAAUAGACAGGGAGACUACGAAAGAGUAGUCAAAGCAACCAAAGUACACUUAUUACAUAAUAGUGAUAAGUUCGUACGUCUAAACAGAAGGAAAUGUCAAAACUGCCGUGAUUCCUCGAGUGCCACUAAGAGUACAGCUAUCUAGGUCCUGGAGGGGCGAAAACAAAGUUGAGUGGGUCAGCAAAACAAGGCUUAUAAGAAAACCAUUAUCUUUGAAUAUACUAACCUCUCGCCAUAAAAUAAGUAUAGUUUCCUCAAAACAUACUACGUAAGUAUGAAAUCCAAUAUAUCAGCCAUAUAACUAGAAAUAUGUCAAGUAAAUGAUGUAUCAUAUGCCACAAUAAUAAUCAUGUGAUAAUCAAUAUUACUAAGUGCUCAUCCAUCUAAGCUGACACACAAGUUCGAACAAAUGGUUUCUGACACGAACAGGACUGGGUGUAAUCAAUAUGCUCUAGUACUAUGAUCACGUGAAGACUGGUGCAAAAGCACAUCACAUACAAGUCGGAUCGCCUAAUGCAAUCUACCCGACAAGACUGGCACCUAAACUUGGAUCCAAGGUGAGCGAAUGGUGCAGAUGUGAACAUACACGUGAAGGACUGGCCCUGGGGCGAGUAUUAACACCGGGUGUAGCAGGAUAAGCAUGUACACAAGUACGUAUGAAUGCCAUGACAGUAAUAUCACAACCGUAUAGCAGCAUUUAUUACAAUUUAUAUCACAAUAAAGAUACUAGGCAAGUUAGGCGUAAAAGUGAAGUAAAUACGCAUUUAUGGAAACUAUAAAUAUAUAUAGGUAUAAAACAACUACCCACUCACAAGUACGUUGCUGGGUCGUAGCUCCCGAGCCUAGCUUGGCCUCGAAAAUCCUCGAAAUAAGUUUCCCCUAUAUGUGAAAUAACUAAAUAACAUUAAUUAAAGCACAUAACGGAAACCUAAAUAAAACCUUCAUAGUUUGCUCAAACCUAGGGUGUAAAUAUAUGAAAUCGAUCUGCUCGACGACACGAACACACACGUGUCAACCACGUGCUGCCCAAAGUGGCUGUCCACGCGCGCCCACGUGCCCCCUCGAGUACACUGUACUUGCCUUCUUCGCGAAAAUCUGCAGUUUUUCAGAUUUUUUGCCCAACUUCUAGAGCUCAUAACGAGUUCGAUUCUCAACCAAAUUCACUUCUACAAAAGCCAAAUUAAAGCUAGGAAUGUGAUCUACCGAUCCCAAUUUACAGAAAGUUUGAAUAUAGUCCGUGUUGUUCAGGAAUUUGGCCUAAAAGUUGCCAAACGACCACGGUUGAAAUUUUCAGAAAACUAUAAUUUUCUUCCCAACUUCCAGAGUUGAUUUCUAACUCGUUACUUAACCAAACUCAGUGAUUCAAAAGCCAUUUUGAAGUUAGGAAUGUAGAGAACAAGUUUGUACAUAGAAGAAGUCCAGUUGUGGUCGAGGUUGACCAGAAAAACAGUUUGAAAGUGACCAAAUGGCCACAGUUCUUGAGUGAAAAAUGGCAGGUUCUCCUUCUUCUCGAGUUUCUGGGUACAACCACACGUUCAAAACACAAACAAAGGAUCAAUAACAACCCAUAGAAGUGAAAUGAAGGUUCUAAGGGUUUCUCAAGGCUUACCUAAGCCAUACAUGGCCUGAAAAUCGAUAUGUCGAACUCGCCGAGUCGACCUUCCGAGUUAGUGAGUCAAAACUCGUCUACAUCAUAUUUCAAGGACAUGGUUGUGAUCAUGGGACUGAGAUGAUCACAAUGGUGUAGUUGGUUUGUCACGUUUGUGAGUUUUGGUGUGUUUUGUGGUUGUUGCAGAGAGGAAGAAGAAGAAGAAAUGUGGCGUGGGAGAGGGAGAAGAGAGAGAGAGAUGCUUUUCUGAUUGAGGGAACAGAAAAUAAAGAAGAGAUGGGAUAGGUGA